UAACAUUAAGGCACAUUGGGCCUGGGGUUUCCAGCUUCCAGUUCCUGGUUGUGGAGGAAUGGAGUGAAAGUAAGUCCACGUAGAGAAAGAAGAAGAAUUCAAUAAAAUUCUAGGUUUUCCAAGGGAGUAGAAGUAUUUCAGCAAUAGGCAUCCCAGAAACCUGUGAAGAGGCUUAUUCCCCAGCUUGUUCCUGUCUCCUGCCAAGAGAAGACUUACCAGAUAUUGCAUCAUCUGAGGGCAGGGCAGCUCAUGAGGUGUUUUGGUCUGAUUCAGCAGAGCCAAAAUCACGGUUGAGUGCCUAAGUGCCGGUCCUUGAUCUCCCUUGCAGACCUAUCGCUACCCAUCUGUCAGCCUUCGUUCGUGUAUAGGCAACGUACAGAAGCAUCAAGCAACAAGCUGUGUGGGAGCAGGCUGCUGUGGGAGAAGGAGACUGCGAGGAAAGCUGGCGUCCUGGAACUAGACACAAUCCUGGCUGCCGUAACCACUGCCUUUGAGAGAGCUACAGCUGAGAAAAUCCGCUGCCAGGAAGAAGUGAAUAGAACUAACAAGGCUAUUGAGCUGGCCAACAGAUUAGUGAAAGGUCUGAGGUGAGGUCCUACAGGGCAGGCUAAUGAAGCAGCCUACAGAAAGCACUUCUUUGUUAUACACUACUGAUCUGGCA
RNAcentral lists this long non-coding RNA (661 nucleotides) under Struthio camelus australis. RNAcentral describes it as "lncRNA (ENSSCUG00000017458.1)". The record is from RNAcentral. Lineage: Eukaryota; Metazoa; Chordata; Aves; Struthioniformes; Struthionidae.